This 300-nucleotide signal recognition particle RNA is filed under the name Phascolarctos cinereus (koala). RNAcentral's name for it is "Metazoan signal recognition particle RNA (ENSPCIG00000005951.2)". It matches the Rfam family "Metazoan signal recognition particle RNA". From Rfam's summary of the family: The signal recognition particle (SRP) is a universally conserved ribonucleoprotein. Lineage: Eukaryota; Metazoa; Chordata; Mammalia; Diprotodontia; Phascolarctidae. The record is from RNAcentral.
ACUGGGUGUGUUGGCAUAUACCUGUAAUCCGUGAAACUGAAGAAGCCAAGGCUGGUGGAUUUCUUGAGUUUGGGAGUUCUGAGGUGCAGUAGAACUAAUGCCAAUCAGGUGUCUACAUUAAAUAUGUCACUGAUAUGGUGAUCCCCUGGAAGCUGGGGAUACCAGUUUGCCUAAGGACAGUUAAAUAGGCCCAGGUUGGAAUUGGAGCAGUUCAAAACUUCCAUGAUGAUCAGAAUGGUAUCUAGCCUAUGACUAGUCAUUGCACUUUCAGCCAGGGAAAGAUAGAGGGAUCUAGUGUCC